CCUACGGGGUGCAGCAGUGGGGAAUAUUGGACAAUGGGCGAAAGCCUGAUCCAGCCAUGCCGCGUGUGUGAAGAAGGCCUUCGGGUUGUAAAGCACUUUCAGUGGGGAAGAAAGCCUUGGGGCUAAUACCCUCGAGGAAGGACAUCACCCACAGAAGAAGCACCGGCUAACUCCGUGCCAGCAGCCGCGGUAAUACGGAGGGUGCGAGCGUUAAUCGGAAUUACUGGGCGUAAAGCGCGCGUAGGCGGUCUGAUAAGCCGGUUGUGAAAGCCCCGGGCUCAACCUGGGAACGGCAUCCGGAACGGUCAGGCUAGAGUGCAGGAGAGGGAGGUAGAAUUCCCGGUGUAGCGGUGGAAUGCGUAGAGAUCGGGAGGAAUACCAGUGGCGAAGGCGGCCUUCUGGACUGACACUGACGCUGAGGUGCGAAAGCGUGGGUAGCAAACAGGAUUAGAUACCCCGGUAGUC
RNAcentral lists this ribosomal RNA (465 nucleotides) under Vreelandella stevensii. Its description in RNAcentral is "partial 16S ribosomal RNA". It matches the Rfam family "Bacterial small subunit ribosomal RNA", at positions 338 to 795 of the family's 1533-position model. Lineage: Bacteria; Pseudomonadati; Pseudomonadota; Gammaproteobacteria; Oceanospirillales; Halomonadaceae. The record is from RNAcentral.